CAUGUUUUCUAACCAACCUGCCAUUGAAGCUCCUUAUUGGCUAAACACACCUGAUCCAGGUAAUAAACAGCAGAUGAGGCAGGAUUUCUGAAAAACCAGCAGGAGGUCGGGCCUCCAGGCCUGGAGUUUGACACCCCUGCACUAUAU
RNAcentral lists this small nucleolar RNA (147 nucleotides) under Oryzias latipes (Japanese medaka). Lineage: Eukaryota; Metazoa; Chordata; Actinopteri; Beloniformes; Adrianichthyidae. The record is from RNAcentral.